Molecule: ribosomal RNA, 662 nt
Filed under: uncultured cyanobacterium
Lineage: Bacteria; Bacillati; Cyanobacteriota
Description: bacterial SSU rRNA
Rfam family: Bacterial small subunit ribosomal RNA
Source: RNAcentral
CGGACGGGUGAGUAACGCGUGAGAAUCUGCCCUCAGGAGGGGGAUAACAGUUGGAAACGACUGCUAAUACCCCAUAUGCCGAGAGGUGAAACGAAUUUCGCCUGGGGAUGAGCUCGCGUCUGAUUAGCUUGUUGGUGGGGUAAUGGCUUACCAAGGCUUCGAUCAGUAGCUGGUCUGAGAGGACGAUCAGCCACACUGGGACUGAGACACGGCCCAGACUCCUACGGGAGGCAGCAGUGGGGAAUUUUCCGCAAUGGGCGCAAGCCUGACGGAGCAACGCCGCGUGAGGGAUGGAGGCCUUUGGGCUGUAAACCUCUUUUCUCAAGGAAGAAGAUCUGACGGUACUUGAGGAAUAAGCCACGGCUAAUUCCGUGCCAGCAGCCGCGGUAAUACGGGAGUGGCAAGCGUUAUCCGGAAUUAUUGGGCGUAAAGCGUCCGCAGGCGGCCGUUUAAGUCUGUUGUUAAAUCGUGGAGCUCAACUCCAUCACGGCAAUGGAAACUGUUCGGCUUGAGUAUGGUAGGGGCAGAGGGAAUUUCCGGUGUAGCGGUGAAAUGCGUAGAUAUCGGGAAGAACACCAGUGGCAAAAGCGCUCUGCUGGGCCAUUACUGACGCUCAUGGACGAAAGCCAGGGGAGCGAAAGGGAUUAGAUACCCCAGUAGUC